Molecule: long non-coding RNA, 4180 nt
Filed under: Podarcis lilfordi (Lilford's wall lizard)
Lineage: Eukaryota; Metazoa; Chordata; Lepidosauria; Squamata; Lacertidae
Source: RNAcentral
AUUUUUGUAUUGCAUUAGAUUGUUAUAAGGUGCACAUUCUUUGUUUCUUCAGCUUGUAAACCGCCUUGGAUAUUGUAAGAUAGAAAGAUGGUAUACAAAUUAAAAGUGAUGAUGAUGAUGAUGAUUAUGAUGAUAAUCUCAAGGUUGUGAGUUUGAGCCCCACUUUGGGCAAAAAGAUUCCCUCGCGGUCCCUUCCAAUUCUACAAUUCUACAGUUGUAAUAAAUUCCAUUUGUGCCUCUCUCUCUCAAUUUAAGAGUUCUUAAUAGUGUGUAUUGCAUUUAAUAUUCAAGUGGAUUUGGUUAGACUUCCUCAACAGACCUCCUCAACAGUGCUCACCUUCUGAACGACCAGUUCUGGAGGGAGAAGCUAGACCACCUUUUGCCCACAUUGGAAAAACCUUUACAACAGGAUCCCCAGAUUCUCCCCAAAUAGCCAAAUAGGGUCAGUGAGUACCAGAAAGCAAGGGCAGCAUAGGAUACAUACAAGCAGUUGAAGUAUCUUUCCAUAAGGGCCAACAUUGAUGCCGAAAUCCAGCAUCGCCUGAGCUCUGUGAGUGCGGCUUUCUCCUGACUGAAGUGCAGAGUGUUUGAGGACCGGGACACUUGCAGGGAAACCAAAUGCUUGUUUACAAAACUACUGUACUACCAACCUUACUAUAUGCUUGUGAAACAUGGACCAUUUAUAAACGCCAACUCCAACUCCUUGAAAGAUUCCAUCAAUGGUGUCUCCGAAAAUUUUUACACAUCACUUGGGAAGACAGGUGAACUAAUGGCAGUGUACUGGAAGAAGCAAAGAUCACCAGUGUUGAAGCAAUGAUUCUUCAACAUCAACUUCGUUGGACGGGUCAUGUUGUCUGGAUGCCUGAUGAUCAUCUUCCAAAGCAACUACUCUAUUCCCAACUUAAAAAUGGAAAGCGUAAUGCUGGUGGUCAACAAAAGAGGUUCAAAGACUGUCUCAAGGCAAAUCUUUAAAAAUGUAGUAUAAACACUGACAACUGGGAAACACUGGCGUGCGAGCACUCCAGUUGGAGAACAGCCUUUACCAAAGGUGUCGUGGGCUUUGAAGACACUCAAACUCAGGACGCAAGGAAGAAACGUGCUAAGAGGAAGGCACGCUUGGCAAACCUUCACCAUGAUCAACUCCCGCCCGGAAACCAAUGUCCCCACUGUGGAAGGAUGUGUGGAUCCAGAACUGGCCUCCACAGUCACUUACGGAUUCACUGUUAAAACCAUGUUUAUGGAAGACAAUCUUACUCGGCUAUGAAGGAUCACCAAAGAAGAAAGACAUAGGAGCAGUUGAAGUCUCUGUCCCUAUGGCUGGGUCUGAGGACACAAUGCUAGGGCUGUCACCAUAGAAACUUGCUGAGCUGAUGUCAGGCAGAAGCUGAGAAGACUGAACAUUCUGGAACAGCAAGCAGCCGGUGUUUAUAUUGUUUUGUAUCGAGGGUGGAGGCCCUUGAGAAGAUUCUGGCAGAGGAAUCUCAAAAGCCAACCUCAGAGUUGCAGCCUUGAUAGACACAGGACCUCAGAAACAGUUCAGGGGGAAAACUAGAGACACAUGUCACAUUUGAAUGACUCAUUUUGCACCUGUUUCACCCUGGCAGUCUGAGUAAUCAAGAGGCCGCUGUUUGCCCCAGAUGGGGCCCUUUUACUGGGGCUUGCAGGUAGCACACCCCCAAGAUAGUUUUCCGGGCUUCUUCAGUGAUCUAAUCUCAGAGCCUUGAUGCAUGUAUUGAUAUUCAAUUUCAUAGAGAAUACUAUUUCUUGGCUUAAGCAAAUCAGUCUCUUAAGCUUAAGCCAAGAAAUUGGUAAUUAUUGUGUGUAUAUUAGUCACCAACCUGCUAAGGUAAGUAAGCUGCUGCUCUCAUGUUCACCUUUGGCCAGUCUCCGUUGGGCUGCUAAGGCUGUCUAUAUACAAUAAGCUUAAAAAAGUCUUUAAGUAUACCUUUUUUAAAAAACCCGAAGCCUUUCUAUUGGGAUUGACAGGGAAGGAAAUUAAAAGGAAGGAUAAAAAUCUUUUUCUGUAUGCCAUGACAGCAGCAAGAACUACCGUAUUUUUUGCUCUAUAAGACUCACUUUUUCCCUCCUAAAAAGUAAGGGGAAAUGUGUGUGUGUCUUAUGGAGCGAAUGCAGGCUGCGCAGCUAUCCCAGAAGCCAGAACACCAAGAGGGAUUACUGCUUUCACUGCGCAGCAAUCCCUCUUGCUGUUCUGGCUUUUGAGAUUCAGAAUAUUUUUUUUCUUGUUUUCCUCCUCCAAAAACUAGGUGCGUCUUGUGGUCUGGUGCGUCUUAUAGAGCGAAAAAUACGGUAUGUUGGCCCAGAACUGGAAAACAGAUGCAAUACCCACUAUAAUGGAAUGGCAGGUUAAAAUGAUGAAUUACGCAGAACUGGCUAGAAUGUCAGGAAAAGUACGGGAUCAGGAUGAAAAGAAGUUUGCUGAAAGUUGGAGUAAAUAUUUGGUGUAUAUAAGAGAAAAUUGUAAAACUUUAAAGACACUGGCAGGGUUAGAGUAACUCUAGCGGCAUAAGACAAAACAGUAGCUAAUAGAAUACGUGGUGUAAAAACUAUAUGAUACUUACCGAAGGGAUGGAGGGAAGUCCGGAGCUCGGCAGAGCUAAAGGUAUAUGUGGGAUGUAUAAAUGUAUAAUGAGUCUAUGUGCACUAAUGAAAACUAAUAAAAAAUUAUUGGGGGGAAAAGAGAAUACUAUUUCUUGGCUUAAGCUUAAGUGCGUCCCUUGAUUACUUGGACCGCCAGGGCCAAACAGGCGCAAAACGCUGGCCCCCUGUCUACAACUUCCUUAACAUCCAUCUACAACUUCACUAGCAUCUCUCGGUAUUGUGAACAACACCGAACUUACCUUUUGUUGUUAACUUCAUGAACUUACCUAAAAAGAUAAAGAAAACAAAAGACGGAGUUAAGCAUUUGAAAAACCCAUUGAAACCAGACAUUGUAAGUUCAUCUUAGGUUGGGUAGUUCACAAGUCUCUGUGGCUUUGCACAAGCUUUUGUAUUUUUCUCAGAAGAUUGAUAAAGAAUGUCUAAUUAUUUUGGUAAUUAUUGUGUGUAUAUUAGUCGCCAACGUAUGAGUCGUACUACUGCCUCCUGUGGCAGCGAGUUCCACAGUUGUGGAACUGCGCUGUGUGAAGAAGUCCUUUCUUUUUCUCUCAGCGUUCAGCUUCAAUGAAUCUCCACCACUUCGAAAGUAACAUUUUUAUAUGUAACUGCAGUUUUUGUGGUAUUUUGUUUAAGUCGUCUGCGGACGCUUCAGUUUUUUGCACACCGCUUAGAAAUAUUUUUAAUAGAUUAAGCUGUAUAGAAAGCUACGAAGCAGCAUAGAAAUUAAACAAUGUUGUUGGCACCCGUCUGUCUCAGGAGGCGGGAGAGGAGAGCACCUUUGAGGGUACAGUCAUACCAGCGGCGUAGCGUGGGUUGUCAGCACCCGGGGCAAGGCAAGUAAUUUGCGCCCCCUAACCCGGGGCAAGGCAAGUAAUUUGCGCCCCCUAACCCCUAACCUGCCGCCGCUGCCAGCUUCUUCUUGCUGCUGCCUGGGCUGGUCUGGUGUGGUUCUCUCCCGCGCUCAGCGCUGCGCUGGGCGGCCACUGCACUGUCCCUCCCCCAGAUAGCCCCUCGCUCUCUCUCCGCAUCGCACGCCUGGCACCCACCCCCUCCACAGUGGGCGGCGACCCAGUGGCUCGGAUCAGAUUCGCACAGCCAGCACUGCAGUGAGAGAGAGUGAGUGAGCCAGGUAGGGGCAGAGAGCUGCGAGUGCGAGCGCGCCCCCAGAUGUUGCGCCCGGUGCGGCCGGCCCCCCCUGCACCCCCCACGCUACGCCACUGAGUCAUACUGCUGAAAGUCAAACUGUCUCUUUCGUAUUGGUCUCUACAGCCACAGCUUAGCCAUGCAAAGUUUUAUAGACAUCUAUCAUGUCACUUUUAUAGACUUCUGUCAUGUCAUUUCUUCCUCAUAUUUUUUCUGAACUAGGAACUCACAAGUGCUACAACCUUUCCACAUGGAGGAAAAUGCUUUGACCAUUUGGCUUGCCCCUUUCUGAAUUCAGAAUAUGCCAGAAUUACAGAAUCCAUUUUUAAAAAUUGAAAAAGAGACAACCAAAUGGAUACUCCUAAGAGUCUUGAGGAACAAGAGCUAAGAAAAAGUGAGACAAAAACAAGACAACUCCAUC